RNAcentral lists this ribosomal RNA (496 nucleotides) under uncultured bacterium. RNAcentral's name for it is "partial 16S ribosomal RNA". It matches the Rfam family "Bacterial small subunit ribosomal RNA", at positions 28 to 506 of the family's 1533-position model. The record is from RNAcentral.
GAUGAACGCUGGCGGCGUGCCUAAUACAUGCAAGUCGAGCGAACAGACGAGGAGCUUGCUCCGCUGACGUUAGCGGCGGACGGGUGAGUAACACGUGGAUAACCUACCUAUAAGACUGGGAUAACUUCGGGAAACCGGAGCUAAUACCGGAUAAUAUAUUAAACCGCAUGGUUCAAUAGUGAAAGACGGUUUUGCUGUCACUUAUAGAUGGAUCCGCGCCGCAUUAGCUAGUUGGUAAGGUAACGGCUUAGCAAGGCAACGAUGCGUAGCCGACCUGAGAGGGUGAUCGGCCACACUGGACCUGAGCCACGGUCCAGACUCCUACGGGGGGCAGCGGUAGGGAAUCUUCCGCAUUGGGCGAAAGCCUGCCGGAGCAACGCCGCGUGAGUGAUGAAGGUCUUCGGAUCGUAAAACUCUGUUAUUAGGGAAGAACAAAUGUGUAAGUAACUAUGCUCGUCUUGACGGUACCUAAUCAGAAAGCCACGGCUAACUACGU